This 341-nucleotide long non-coding RNA is filed under the name Linum usitatissimum (flax). RNAcentral describes it as "long non-coding RNA (LUSI_LNC004286)". The record is from RNAcentral. Lineage: Eukaryota; Viridiplantae; Streptophyta; Magnoliopsida; Malpighiales; Linaceae.
CAUGAUGUCUCAGUGGUUUUUCCUCAAGCAGAGGAUGAUCCAUGGGUUGUUUUUUAAAUUAUUCUAUAAUAUUGAAUGUAGAAAUAUGAUUUUACGGGCUGACUUGCAAUUCUUUUUAUUGAUACUCACCUAGCUUGCAGGCUGUUAUUUCUGAGGCGAGGACUCAACAGGCUGCAUCCUUGACGGAAAUUUAACUGGCUUGGGCACAAAUAUCUGAUCUCUAAUGCGAAAACUCGAGUUUCCAUACUUAAAGGUUUGACAUGCCACCUGGCUUUCCUCUAGUGUUGACUGACUUUCCAUUGAUAAUUUUGUAUCGCGUUUUAUCUUACAGCUACGUACAC